This 490-nucleotide ribosomal RNA is filed under the name uncultured bacterium. RNAcentral describes it as "partial 16S ribosomal RNA". It matches the Rfam family "Bacterial small subunit ribosomal RNA", at positions 30 to 507 of the family's 1533-position model. The record is from RNAcentral.
AUUGAACGCUGGCGGCAGGCCUAACACAUGCAAGUCGAACGGUAACAGGGAUCAGCUUGCUGAUUCGCUGACGAGUGGCGGACGGGUGAGUAAUGUCUGGGAAACUGCCUGAUGGAGGGGGAUAACUACUGGAAACGGUAGCUAAUACCGCAUAACGUCGCAAGACCAAAGAGGGGGACCUUCGGGCCUCUUGCCAUCGGAUGUGCCCAGAUGGGAUUAGCUAGUAGGUGGGGUAACGGCUCACCUAGGCGACGAUCCCUAGCUGGUCUGAGAGGAUGACCAGCCACACUGGAACUGAGACACGGUCCAGACUCCUACGGGAGGCAGCAGUGGGGAAUAUUGCACAAAGGGCGCAAGCCUGAUGCAGCCAUGCCGCGUGUAUGAAGAAGGCCUUCGGGUUGUAAAGUACUUUCAGCGGGGAGGAAGGGAGUAAAGUUAAUACCUUUGCUCAUUGACGGUACCCGCAGAAGAAGCACCGGCUAACUCCGUG